Molecule: ribosomal RNA, 468 nt
Filed under: uncultured bacterium
Lineage: Bacteria
Description: partial 16S ribosomal RNA
Rfam family: Bacterial small subunit ribosomal RNA
Source: RNAcentral
GACGAACGCUGGCGGCGUGCUUAACACAUGCAAGUCGAACGGAAAGGCCCUGCUUUUGUGGGGUGCUCGAGUGGCGAACGGGUGAGUAACACGUGAGUAACCUGCCCUUGACUUUGGGAUAACUUCAGGAAACUGGGGCUAAUACCGGAUAGGAGCUCCUGCUGCAUGGUGGGGGUUGGAAAGUUUCGGCGGUUGGGGAUGGACUCGCGGCUUAUCAGCUUGUUGGUGGGGUAGUGGCUUACCAAGGCUUUGACGGGUAGCCGGCCUGAGAGGGGGACCGGCCACAUUGGGACUGAGAUACGGCCCAGACUCCUACGGGAGGCAGCAGUGGGGAAUAUUGCACAGUGGGGGGAAGCCUGAUGCAGCAACGCCGCGUGCGGGAUGACGGCCUUCGGGUUGUAAACCGCUUUCGCCUGUGACGAAGCGUGAGUGACGGUAAUGGGUAAAGAAGCACCGGCUAACUACGUG